GAUCAUGGCUCAGGAUGAACGCUAGCUACAGGCUUAACACAUGCAAGUCGAGGGGCAGCAUGGUCUUAGCUUGCUAAGGCCGAUGGCGACCGGCGCACGGGUGAGUAACGCGUAUCCAACAUGCCUUACACUCUUGGACAGCCUUCUGAAAGGGAGAUUAAUACAAGAUGUUAUCAUGAGUAAGCAUUUUCACAUGNUUAAAGGUUUACCGGUGUAAGAUGGGGAUGCG
This 229-nucleotide ribosomal RNA is filed under the name uncultured bacterium. RNAcentral describes it as "partial 16S ribosomal RNA". It matches the Rfam family "Bacterial small subunit ribosomal RNA", at positions 15 to 235 of the family's 1533-position model. The record is from RNAcentral.